GGAGAUGUGGGGCCAGUGUGGCUGUAUCCCCAGUCUCCUCUUGACUGUGUCGUGGCUGAUCCUAAAAAAGGCUCUAAGCUGUACGGGCUGAAGAGUUACAUAGAGUACCAGGUCACACCCAAUACGACCAAACAGACCUGUCAAUCACAGGUAUAAGCAUUUUGAUUGGCUGUAUAUGAGCGCCUGUUGGAGCAAGUUUGGUUCCGCCAUCCCCAUCCCCUCACUGCCUGACAAAACAAGUCACAGGUCGUUUUGAGGAGGAGUUUAUCAAGAUGAGGAUGGAGAGACUGCAGGGCUGGAUGUGUCGUAUGUGUCGACAUCCUGUCGUCUCCAACAGUGACGUCUUUCAACUCUUCCUCACGUACAGAGACGAGAAGGAGUGGAAGACCGGGAAGAGGAGAGCAGAGAAGGAUGAGUGUGUUGGACCAAUGGUCUUCUCCACCAUCGACCCUGAAGCUCCUGAG
Molecule: non-coding RNA, 464 nt
Organism: Salvelinus sp. IW2-2015
Lineage: Eukaryota; Metazoa; Chordata; Actinopteri; Salmoniformes; Salmonidae
Source: RefSeq, a predicted model, not a curated record